ACAGAGGGUGCGAGUGUUAAUAGUAUUUACUGGACGUAAAGCGUGCGUAGGCGUCUUAUUAAGUCGGAUGUGACAUCACCGAUCUUAACUGGAGAAUUGCAUUCGAUACUGGUGAGCUAGAGUAUGGGAGAGGAUGGUAGAAUUCCAGGUGUAGCGGUGAAAUGCGUAGAGAUCUGGAGGAAUACCGAUGGAGAAGGCAGCCAUGUGGCAUAAUACUGACGCUGAGGUACGACAGCAUGGGGAGCAAACAGGAUUAGAUACCCUGGUAGUCCAUGCCGUAAACGAUGUCUACUAGCCGUUGGGGCCUUUGAGGCUUUAGUGGCGCAGCUAACGCGAUAAGUAGACCGCCUGGGGAGUACGGUCGCAAGACUAAAACUCAAAUGAAUUGACGGGGGCCCGCACAAGCGGUGGAGCAUGUGGUUUAAUUCGAUGCAACGCGAAGAACCUUACCUGGCCUUGACAUACUAGAAACUUUCCAGAGAUGGAUUGGUGCCUUCGGGAAUCUAGAUACAGGUGCUGCAUGGCUGUCGUCAGCUCGUGUCGUGAGAUGUUGGGUUAAGUCCCGCAACGAGCGCAACCCUUUUCCUUACUUGCCAGCAUUUCGGAUGGGAACUUUAAGGAUACUGCCAGUGACAAACUGGAGGAAGGCGGGGACGACGUCAAGUCAUCAUGGCCCUUACGGCCAGGGCUACACACGUGCUACAAUGGUCGGUACAAAGGGUUGCUACACAGCGAUGUGAUGCUAAUCUCAAAAAGCCGAUCGUAGUCCGGAUUGGAGUCUGCAACUCGACUCCAUGAAG
RNAcentral lists this ribosomal RNA (800 nucleotides) under Acinetobacter baumannii. RNAcentral's name for it is "bacterial SSU rRNA". It matches the Rfam family "Bacterial small subunit ribosomal RNA", at positions 525 to 1325 of the family's 1533-position model. The record is from RNAcentral. Lineage: Bacteria; Pseudomonadati; Pseudomonadota; Gammaproteobacteria; Moraxellales; Moraxellaceae.